CGCGGUUUUAGGCAGAGCGAAGGAGCCCCCUGCUGGCCAGACGCGGCAGGCGCGGCGACCCUGCUCCGGGUUUCCUCCACCCGGCGGCCGCGGCCCCGCCCUGACCCACCUCGACCCUCCCACGCCCCCGGCGCUGGGGCGUGUCCAGAGACACAGAAAACAAAACAAAACAAAGCGCCAAAAGCCACUCUCACCUGUCGACUGCUCAAAGGUUCAAGCUCUGUCAUGAAUGUAGUCUUCACCACCACCACCAAGACCAGCUGGCAGACCGAAGUAGUUUCCCAUGUGCUCAUGAAAGAAUGGGGUAGGUUUUUCUAAAUCUGGUCUGUAUUAUGUAGUUUAAACAAAUUGAUUUUAAUAUUUUUUAUCUUGCAAUUAAGUCUUCAAUGCCGUUUGUUCUGAAAUGCUCCUUUGCAAACACCUUGUAAAGUGAAUAUAAAGGAAUUAUUUAAUUAUUUCAAUUAGGAAUUCCAUUUGUGGACAGCAGAGGUCUCAAUUAAAAAUUAUAUACAUGUAUGUAUACACACACACACACACACACACACACACACAUAUUGGUGCUACCAGUACAUUCUUCUGGAAAUGCAGCCAAUCUCUCUUUCUUUAGGCUAGCAUGUAAAAUAUUAUGGAGCUUGAAGUAA
RNAcentral lists this long non-coding RNA (641 nucleotides) under Felis catus (domestic cat). RNAcentral describes it as "lncRNA (ENSFCAG00000053139.1)". Lineage: Eukaryota; Metazoa; Chordata; Mammalia; Carnivora; Felidae. The record is from RNAcentral.